This is a long non-coding RNA of Nanorana parkeri, 858 nucleotides long. RefSeq lists it as uncharacterized. The transcript is spliced from 5 exons. NCBI's taxonomy places the organism in Eukaryota, Metazoa, Chordata, Amphibia, Anura, Dicroglossidae. The record is from RefSeq and is a predicted model, not a curated record.
GGGACAUUACUGCUGCCUUUUGGCUGCACAGAGGAGAAGCAGCAGAAGUAGCAGCAUCUUGGUGGGGCGGCUCUAUUAGGAGGAAUGCGGUAGUGAUGUAGAAGCAGUGAGAGAUGUGGCCUGCAGAGGAGCCGGUACAGCCUCUGAUGCUGAUGCUGAUGCUGUGAUUGAGGUGCUGCUGCUGCUGCUGCUCUCACUGGACCGAAACUGCUAAGGAUUUUCUACGUGGGGGGAUGCCCAGCUUCUCCUGCUCUUGGCUUUAGGGGACCUACUUCUGUCACCGGUGGACGCAGGCUUGGAUCCUUAAAAUCUUUAAUUAAAAAAAGGGGGAGGAAAAAAAAAAAAAAAGAUUCAACUGAUGCAACAAGAGGACUGGACCCUGAUCACAGCAUUGCAUCCUCUAUAAGGUGAUGUCCCUUUCCGAAUUCUCCCUACAGGCUGUUUUCUGCAAAGAAUAAGCGGUGGGAGAGUCAUGGUGUUACUGAAUUGGAUUUAAUCUUCUGCUGAGAAGACAUGUGUACCCUUCUCCAGGGUUUUCCCGGCGCUGCGUGAGAUCACCAUGAGCCAGAGGAGAAAGUAGAGCAGUACCGGAGCCCCCCUUCCCCCCCGUUCGCUGCCACACUCACCUCCCAGGAGAAAUGGUGCAUUAUGGGAAAUCUCUCGACAGACAUGAGUGAGCGAUGUGACUUGGGCAAUCUCAUCUGAAGGGCCGAGUUGUUCUUUUGGAGGAGACUUCUAGAUGAGACUCGCUGAGACACUGAAUCUGUGUGAAGAGGCCUAAGGAUUUAAUAGGAUGUCAACGGAGACAGAACUUCAAGUGGCUGUGAAAACCAGCGCAAAGAAAGAAUCCAAAAAGAA